RNAcentral lists this ribosomal RNA (407 nucleotides) under uncultured bacterium. Its description in RNAcentral is "partial 16S ribosomal RNA". It matches the Rfam family "Bacterial small subunit ribosomal RNA", at positions 28 to 526 of the family's 1533-position model. The record is from RNAcentral.
GACGAACGCUGGCGGCGUGCCUAAUACAUGCAAGUAGGACGCAGUUGCGAACGGGUGAGUAACGCGUAGGUAACUGCCUAUUAGAGGGGGAUAACUAUUGGAAACGAUAGCUAAUACCGCAUACUAGUAGAUGGACCUGCGUUGUAUUAGCUAGUAGGUAGGGUAAUGGCCUACCUAGGCAACGAUACAUAGCCGACCUGAGAGUGUGAGCGGCCAUGCUGGGAUGGAGACACGGCCCAUAUGCCUACGGGAGGCGGCAGUAGGGAAUCUUGGGGAAUGGGGGGAAGCCUGACCGAGCAACGCCGCGUGAUUGAAGACGGUUUUCGGAUGGUAAAGCUCUGUUGUUAAGGAAGCGGUACUUAACCAGAAAGGGACGGCUAACUACGUGCCAGCCGCCGCGGUAAUAC